Pelobates cultripes (western spadefoot toad) is the source of this 253-nucleotide non-coding RNA. The record is from the annotation of a GenBank genome assembly. Lineage: Eukaryota; Metazoa; Chordata; Amphibia; Anura; Pelobatidae.
CAAUGGGCUCUGCGAACGGUUCAAUGGGACAUUGAAACAGAUGCUCUGAACCUUCGCUGAAACUCAUCGGGACUGGGAGUGGUUCCUGCCACAUCUCCUAUUUGCGUAUUGGGAGGUGCCACAGUAAUCCACGGGAUUCUCCCCAUUUGAACUGUUGUACGGGAGAUGAGUACGAGGUCCCCUGGACCUCAUUAAGGAGCACUGGGAGAGAGAUCGCAACACUGAUGGUACCCCCAUCAUACCAUAUGUGCUG